CAGAUUUCAAGGGUGGCACACAGAUGCCACCUCUUAAUGGGGAUGUGUCCAAGAAUUUGUAGACAUAUUUGAAACCACCACAGUUUGGGAGAAAGCAGAGCUUGCUAGUUGUCUAACUACGUUCCAUUUUUACCUUCCUAGUAACAGAAUCCCUAUGUUAUCAGUUAACUCAGAUUUUUUAAAAUCUACUUUUCCUGGCCUCCAUAAAAGAUGUGUGUCCAAUGAGAAGAAAGGAGAAGUCAUUGGAUGAGCCUUUGGGAAAGUUAUUUUAUAAACUUUAAAGAAUCUUCAUAGGAUAGUAUACUCUUCUAGAAAGUGUCUCUUUCCCCUUCUCCUCUUCUUUAUUCUCCCUGCCUGGAAUGCAGAUGAUAGAGUUGGAGCUCCAGUAGCCAUCUUGAGACCAUGAGGCAAUCCUGAGAAGGAAAGCUACACAUUAAGGAUGAGGGAGCAGAAAAAUUAAAGAAUACCAGGUCCUGGGAGACAUUGUGGAGCCAACAUGCCUACCCUGCCUUUUGAAUGUCAAGUUAUAAGACAGUAAAAUACAUGUCUAUUAUAUUUGGUGGUGUCUGUCACCAAAAUCAAUCCCUAACUGACACAAGCGAUCAGAAAGAGUUAGAUCAGAAAGGAGGAAAUGUAAUUUUUUUUGGUAAAGUAAUAAUUGCACAAGCAUUUGCUAAAAUGAGAAGGAGGUUGCCAGAUAAAGUAAGGAAAGACCUUUCAUGCAGAGGGAACAGUAUGGUUAAAAUAUCAAGGAAACCACUUGAUCACUUUCUCCUGAAAAAAUAACAUAUAUUAGAGUGGCUUGGUGAGGUUACUUCAAAUUAUAUUUGAUGAUUCCAGAGGAAGAAAUAGUAGAACUUCAGGUAUGCUGAGAAAGCACCUGUGCCAGAUGUUGACAUCGUUCAUUCCUACAUCCAUCCCCAUCUCCACAAACAAACUGGAAGAUGAAAACAAGGACUACACCUGGAAUAGUUCUCUCAGUAAGUGUGGAUUCAGUGCAGAAUAAAUGAAAUCAAUAUUGAAUGGC
RNAcentral lists this long non-coding RNA (1027 nucleotides) under Homo sapiens (human). Its description in RNAcentral is "HSALNT0399768". The record is from RNAcentral. Lineage: Eukaryota; Metazoa; Chordata; Mammalia; Primates; Hominidae.